AUUUUGAUGACAGCUCAAUGGUUAAGGCGCUAUCGCUUACUUCCGGUAUACUUCCGGGAAAUUUGCAUAAAACUAGCAAGUGAGCUUUGUUCUCUGUGCUAAUCUCAAGAUUGAAUGCUAGGUUUUAGCAAACAAACAUGCGAUUUUCAAGUUUUGUGAGUAUCUCAAGUCCAAUCCUUUAAAUAAUGAGUCUUUAUGCGUGUCUAAUAGAUGGCGUUUUAAUUGUUUGUGUCAGUUAUGGGCUCAUGGCGGUUUGCUGUCAAAAGUUAAGCUAAUAUCUUUUCUUCGAAAAUUAACAAUGUAUUUACUGGAGAAAACGUGUUGAAAGAGUCGUGCAGCUCACUGCUGUCGUUCAACCAUUUAUUUGUUCAAAAUCAUUGCAUUCUACUGAAUUUGCCAUCAAAAUGGAACAGGAUUCAUCAUAAUUGUCUGCUGUUUGUAUUGGACUUGCUAGAUCGCCAAUCCCAGCCAUGCCGAUUUUUAGUGUUCUUCAUUACAGGUUUCUAACACAUUGGCAUGACAGAUUUGACGAGAAGUCAUAUUUUGAAGAAAAAGGACAAGGACCAAACAGUCAACAAGGUUCCUUGUUUGCUAACCCGUUGGCUGCUACCCUUCAAUCUCCCUGUUUACUUCCUUACACAGGUCCUAUUGAUUUGAGGGUAACUCUUUCGCUGCUGAUCACAUCAAGUCCUCAACUGUUAUAUACUGACGAGAGAAUGCUGCAAUUCAAGACUGAUGGAUUGUGUAGUUGUUAGAUAAAUGACAAGUGCAUAUCUGG
RNAcentral lists this long non-coding RNA (778 nucleotides) under Daphnia pulex (common water flea). RNAcentral's name for it is "uncharacterized LOC124190811, transcript variant X2". Lineage: Eukaryota; Metazoa; Arthropoda; Branchiopoda; Diplostraca; Daphniidae. The record is from RNAcentral.